GACGAACGCUGGCGGCGUGCUUAACACAUGCAAGUCGAACGGAAAGGCCCUGCUUUUGUGGGGUGCUCGAGUGGCGAACGGGUGAGUAACACGUGAGUAACCUGCCCUUGACUUUGGGAUAACUUCAGGAAACUGGGGCUAAUACCGGAUAGGAGCUCCUGCUGCAUGGUGGGGGUUGGAAAGUUUCGGCGGUUGGGGAUGGACUCGCGGCUUAUCAGCUUGUUGGUGGGGUAGUGGCUUACCAAGGCUUUGACGGGUAGCCGGCCUGAGAGGGUGACCGGCCACAUUGGGACUGAGAUACGGCCCAGACUCCUGCGGGAGGCAGCAGUGGGGAAUAUUGCACAAUGGGCGGAAGCCUGAUGCAGCAGCGCCGCGUGCGGGAUGACGGCCUUCGGGUUGUAAACCGCUUUCGCCUGUGACGAAGCGUGAGUGACGGUAAUGGGUAAAGAAGCACCGGCUAACUACGUG
This 468-nucleotide ribosomal RNA is filed under the name uncultured bacterium. Its description in RNAcentral is "partial 16S ribosomal RNA". It matches the Rfam family "Bacterial small subunit ribosomal RNA", at positions 28 to 507 of the family's 1533-position model. The record is from RNAcentral.